UUACCGAGUUUACAACUCCCAAACCCCUGUGAACAUACCUAUACGUUGCCUCGGCGGAUCAGCCCGCGCCCCGUAAAAAGGGACGGCCCGCCCGAGGACCCCUAAACUCUGUUUUUAGUGGAACUUCUGAGUAAAACAAACAAAUAAAUCAAAACUUUCAACAACGGAUCUCUUGGUUCUGGCAUCGAUGAAGAACGCAGCAAAAUGCGAUAAGUAAUGUGAAUUGCAGAAUUCAGUGAAUCAUCGAAUCUUUGAACGCACAUUGCGCCCGCCAGUAUUCUGGCGGGCAUGCCUGUUCGAGCGUCAUUUCAACCCUCAAGCUCAGCUUGGUGUUGGGACUCGCGGUAACCCGCGUUCCCCAAAUCGAUUGGCGGUCACGUCGAGCUUCCAUAGCGUAGUAAUCAUACACCUCGUUACUGGUAAUCGUCGCGGCCACGCCGUAAAACCCCAACUUCUGAAUGUGACCUCGGAUCAGGCUUUUCUCCUUAUGGGAGCAAAAGAAACCAACAGGGAUUGCCCUAGUAACGGCGAGUGAAGCGGCAACAGCUCAAAUUUGAAAUCUGGCUCUCGGGCCCGAGUUGUAAUUUGUAGAGGAUGCUUUUGAUGCGGUGCCUUCCGAGUUCCCUGGAACGGGACGCCAUAGAGGGUGAGAGCCCCGUCUGGUUGGAUGCCAAAUCUCUGUAAAGCUCCUUCGACGAGUCGAGUAGUUUGGGAAUGCUGCUCUAAAUGGGAGGUAUAUGUCUUCUAAAGCUAAAUACCGGCCAGAGACCGAUAGCGCACAAGUAGAGUGAUCGAAAGAUGAAAAGCACUUUGAAAAGAGAGUUAAAAAGUACGUGAAAUUGUUGAAAGGGAAGCGUUUAUGACCAGACUUGGGCUUGGUUAAUCAUCUGGGGUUCUCCCCAGUGCACUUUUCCAGUCCAGGCCAGCAUCAGUUUUCGCCGGGGGAUAAAGGCUUCGGGAAUGUGGCUCUCUCCGGGGAGUGUUAUAGCCCGUUGCGUAAUACCCUGGCGGGGACUGAGGUUCGCGCAUCUGCAAGGAUGCUGGCGUAAUGUAAGUCAACGACUCGUCUUGUACACGGGAGACACAGGAA
RNAcentral lists this ribosomal RNA (1090 nucleotides) under Fusarium equiseti. RNAcentral describes it as "eukaryotic LSU rRNA". The stretch from base 462 to 1090 matches the Rfam family "Eukaryotic large subunit ribosomal RNA", at positions 1 to 682 of the family's 3401-position model. Lineage: Eukaryota; Fungi; Ascomycota; Sordariomycetes; Hypocreales; Nectriaceae. The record is from RNAcentral.